Molecule: ribosomal RNA, 490 nt
Filed under: uncultured bacterium
Lineage: Bacteria
Description: bacterial SSU rRNA
Rfam family: Bacterial small subunit ribosomal RNA
Source: RNAcentral
AUUGAACGCUGGCGGCAUGCCUAACACAUGCAAGUCGAACGGUAACGCAGAGAGCUUGCUCUUUGGCGACGAGUGGCGGACGGGUGAGUAAUGCUUAGGAAUCUGCCCAGUAGUCGGGGGACAACUCGGGGAAACUCGAGCUAAUACCGCAUACGCCCUACGGGGGAAAGCCGGGGGAUCUUCGGACCUCGCGCUAUUGGAUGAGCCUAAGUCGGAUUAGCUUGUUGGUGAGGUAACGGCUCACCAAGGCGACGAUCCGUAGCUGGUCUGAGAGGACGAUCAGCCACACUGGGACUGAGACACGGCCCAGACUCCUACGGGAGGCAGCAGUGGGGAAUAUUGGACAAUGGGGGCAACCCUGAUCCAGCAAUGCCGCGUGUGCGAAGAAGGCCUGCGGGUUGUAAAGCACUUUCAGUAGAGAAGAAAAGCUUACGGUUAAUACCCGUGAGUCUUGACGUAACCUACAGAAGAAGCACCGGCUAACUCCGUG